AGAGUUUGAUCAUGGCUCAGGGUGAACGCUAGCGGCCCGUAAAAAGAAAGCAAGUCGAACGACGUGCCCGAGCAAUCGGGAUUACGAGUGGCGGACGGGUGAGUAACGCGUGAGAACGUACCCUCUAGUGGGGAAUAACCGCGGGAAACUGUGGCUAAUACCCCAUGUUAUCGCAAGAUCAAAGGGCAUAACUGCCCGCUAGAGGAGCGUCUUGCGUCCUAUCAGCUUGUUGGUGGGGUAAUGGCCUACCAAGGCGACGACGGGUAGGAGGUCUGAGAGGAUGGUCUCCCACAAUGGCACUGAGACACGGGCCAUACACCUACGGGUGGCAGCAACCGGGAAUCUUGCGCAAUGGGCGAAAGCCUGACGCAGCGACGCCGCGUGGAGGAUGAAGGCCUUCGGGUUGUAAACUCCUUUUAUUAGGGAAUAAUUUUGACUGUACCUGAUGAAUAAGGGCCUGCUAACCACGUGCCAGCAGCCGCGGUAAUACGUAGGGUGCAAGCGUUGUCCGGAAUCACUGGGCGUAAAGGGUUCGUAGGCGGCCUAUCAAGUCAGGUGUGAAAGGCAUUGGCUCAACCAAUGUAAGCACUUGAAACUGGUGGGCUUGAGUACUGGAGAGGAGAGUGGAAUUCCUAGUGUAGCGGUGAAAUGCGUAGAUAUUAGGAGGAACACCAGUGGCGAAGGCGACUCUCUGGACAGUUACUGACGCUGAGGAACGAAAGCGUGGGGAGCAAACAGGAUUAGAUACCCUGGUAGUCCACGCCGUAAACGAUGAGUGCUAGGUGUUGGGGGCGACAGUCCUCAGUGCCGCAGCUAACGCAUUAAGCACUCCGCCUGGGGAGUACGGUCGCAAGAGUGAAACUCAAAGGAAUUGACGGG
This 879-nucleotide ribosomal RNA is filed under the name uncultured Microgenomates group bacterium. Its description in RNAcentral is "bacterial SSU rRNA". It matches the Rfam family "Bacterial small subunit ribosomal RNA", at positions 8 to 917 of the family's 1533-position model. The record is from RNAcentral.